This 375-nucleotide unclassified non-coding RNA is filed under the name soil metagenome. Its description in RNAcentral is "partial contains 5.8S ribosomal RNA, internal transcribed spacer 2, and large subunit ribosomal RNA". The stretch from base 1 to 120 matches the Rfam family "5.8S ribosomal RNA", at positions 35 to 154 of the family's 154-position model. The record is from RNAcentral.
GAUGAAGAACGUAGCGAAAUGCGGUAAGUAAUGUGAAUUGCAGAAUUCAGUGAACCAUCGAAUCUUUGAACGCACAUUGCGCCCGGCAGUAAUCUGCCGGGCAUGCCUGUCCGAGCGUCAUUUCUCCCCUCGAGCGCAGCUUUCCCCCCCGGGGGAGGGCCGCGCCCGGUGUUGGGGCGCUACGGAGGAGCCCAGCGCUCCCCCGUAGGCCCCGAAAUGUAGUGGCGGUCCCGCCGCGGCGCCCCCUGCGUAGUAGUUUUACAACUCGCAUCGGGUCCCGGCGGAGGCCAGCCGUCAAACCCCCCAACUUCAAUAGUUUGACCUCGGAUCAGGUAGGGUUACCCGCUGAACUUAAGCAUAUCAAUAAGCGGAGGA